This 492-nucleotide ribosomal RNA is filed under the name uncultured bacterium. RNAcentral describes it as "partial 16S ribosomal RNA". It matches the Rfam family "Bacterial small subunit ribosomal RNA", at positions 29 to 507 of the family's 1533-position model. The record is from RNAcentral.
AGUGAACGCUGGCGGCAUGCCUAAUACAUGCAAGUCGAACGGCCGCACAGUAAGCUUUCUCCUCUACUGUUGGCGAGUGGCGGACGGGUGACGCAUACAUCGCCUUCUUCUUUUUCUUGGGUGACUACGUAGGGCCACUUAUGCUACUACCUCAUAUUUUGUACCGGUUAAUUCAGGGGAUCUUCGCACUUUUCCUGUCUGUUUUAGCCGAUGUCGGAUUAGCUAGUUGGCUGGGUAAAGGCCCACCAAGGCGACGAUCCGUAGCUGGUCUGAGAGGAUGAUCGGCCACACUGGAACUGAGACACGGUCCAGACUCCUGCGGGAGGCAGCAGUAGGGAAUAUUGGGCAAUGGGCGAAAGCCUGAUGCAGCCAUGCCGCGUGAGUGAUGAAGGCCUUCGGAUUGUAAAGCUCUUUUAUUAGGAAAGAAAAGAAGCAGAAGAAUACCCGGAUGUUCUGACGGUACCCAAUGAGAAAGCAACGGCUAACUACGUG